This 859-nucleotide ribosomal RNA is filed under the name uncultured bacterium. Its description in RNAcentral is "bacterial SSU rRNA". It matches the Rfam family "Bacterial small subunit ribosomal RNA", at positions 56 to 957 of the family's 1533-position model. The record is from RNAcentral.
UGCAGUCGUACGAGAGUUUUUAACUCAAGUGGCGGACGGGUGAGUAACACGUAAGAAUUUACCUUUAGGAGGGGGACAACAACUGGAAACGGUUGCUAAUACCCCAUAUGCUUUCGAGUGAAAUGGAUUUCCGCCUAAAGAGAAGCUUGCGGCUGAUUAGCUUGUUGGUGAGGUAAUGGCUCACCAAGGCGACGAUCAGUAUCUGGUUUGAGAGGACGAUCAGACACACUGGAACUGAGACACGGUCCAGACUCCUACGGGAGGCAGCAGUGGGGAAUUUUCCGCAAUGGGCGAAAGCCUGACGGAGCAAUACCGCGUGAGGGAUGACGGCCUAUGGGUUGUAAACCUCUUUUUUCAGGGAGGAAUAAAUGACGUGUACCUGAAGAAUAAGCAUCGGCUAACUCCGUGCCAGCAGCCGCGGUAAGACGGAGGAUGCAAGUGUUAUCCGGAAUCACUGGGCGUAAAGCGUCUGUAGGUGGUUUAAUAAGUCAACUGUUAAAUCUUGAGGCUCAACCUCAAAAUCGCAGUCGAAACUAUUAGACUAGAGUAUAGUAGGGGUAAAGGGAAUUUCCAGUGGAGCGGUGAAAUGCGUAGAGAUUGGAAGGAACACCGAUGGCGAAGGCACUUUACUGGGCUAUUACUGACACUCAGAGACGAAAGCUAGGGUAGCAAAUGGGAUUAGAUACCCCAGUAGUCCUAGCCGUAAACAAUGGAUACUAGAUGUUGAACAGAUCGACCUGUGCAGUAUCAAAGCUAACGCGUUAAGUAUCCCGCCUGGGAAGUAUGCUCGCAAGANUGAAACUCAAAGGAAUUGACGGGGGCCCGCACAAGCGGUGGANCAUGUGGUUUAAUUCGAUGC